This 451-nucleotide ribosomal RNA is filed under the name uncultured bacterium. Its description in RNAcentral is "bacterial SSU rRNA". It matches the Rfam family "Bacterial small subunit ribosomal RNA", at positions 354 to 796 of the family's 1533-position model. The record is from RNAcentral.
GUGAGGAAUAUUGCGCAAUGGGGGCAACCCUGACGCAGCGAUGCCGCGUGGGUGAAGAAGGCCUUCGGGUCGUAAAGCCCUGUCAAGCGGGAAGAACGGCCUGGGGACGAAUAAUCCCCGGGUGUGACGGUACCGCUGAAGGAAGCACCGGCUAACUCCGUGCCAGCAGCCGCGGUAAGACGGAGGGUGCGAGCGUUAUUCGGAAUUAUUGGGCGUAAAGGGUGUGCAGGCGGCCGAUCAAGUCAGAUGUGAAAGCCCGGGGCUUAACCUCGGAAGUGCAUGUGAAACUGGUUGGCUUGAGUUCGGGAGAGGAAAGCGGAAUUCCGGGUGUAGAGGUGAAAUUCGUAGAUAUCCGGAGGAACACCGGUGGCGAAGGCGGCUUUCUGGACCGAAACUGACGCUGAGACACGAAAGCGUGGGGAGCAAACAGGAUUAGAUACCCUAGUAGUCC